GUAAAGAGCUCGUAGGCGGCGUGUCGCGUCUGCUGUGAAAGACCGGGGCUUAACUCCGGUUCUGCAGUGGAUACGGGCAUGCUAGAGGUAGGUAGGGGAGACUGGAAUUCCUGGUGUAGCGGUGAAAUGCGCAGAUAUCAGGAGGAACACCGGUGGCGAAGGCGGGUCUCUGGGCCUUACCUGACGCUGAGGAGCGAAAGCAUGGGGAGCGAACAGGAUUAGAUACCCUGGUAGUCCAUGCCGUAAACGUUGGGCGCUAGGUGUGGGGACUUUCCACGGUUUCCGCGCCGUAGCUAACGCAUUAA
RNAcentral lists this ribosomal RNA (305 nucleotides) under Nocardiopsis dassonvillei. RNAcentral describes it as "bacterial SSU rRNA". It matches the Rfam family "Bacterial small subunit ribosomal RNA", at positions 560 to 863 of the family's 1533-position model. Lineage: Bacteria; Bacillati; Actinomycetota; Actinomycetes; Streptosporangiales; Nocardiopsidaceae. The record is from RNAcentral.